Molecule: ribosomal RNA, 465 nt
Filed under: uncultured bacterium
Lineage: Bacteria
Description: partial 16S ribosomal RNA
Rfam family: Bacterial small subunit ribosomal RNA
Source: RNAcentral
GACGAACGCUGGCGGCGUGCUUAACACAUGCAAGUCGAACGGAAAGGCCCCUUUGGGGGUCCUCGAGUGGCGAACGGGUGCGUAACACGUGAGUAACCUGCACUUGACUUCGGGAGAACUUCAGGAAACUGGGGCUAAUACUGGAUAGGCAUCCUUGCUGCAUGGUGGGGGUUGGAAAGCGUCGGCUGUUUUGGAUGGACUCGCGGCUUAUCCGCUUGUUGGUGGGGUAGUGGCUUACCAAGGCUUUGACGGGUAGCCGGCCUGAGAGGGCGACCGGCCACAUUGGGACUGAGAUACGGCCCAGACUCCUACGGGAGGCAGCAGUGGGGAAUAUUGCACAAUGGGCGGAAGCCUGAUGCAGCAACGCCGCGUGCGGGAUGACGUCCUUCGGGUUGAAAACCGCUUUCAGCAGGGGCGAAGCUUGUGGUGACGGUACCUGCAGAAGAAGCACCGGCUAACUACGUG